CGUCGMCUUUAUAAAUCGGGRGGGUUCAAGUCCCUCUAUCCCCA
This 44-nucleotide transfer RNA is filed under the name Guatteria amplifolia. RNAcentral's name for it is "partial tRNA-Leu". The record is from RNAcentral. Lineage: Eukaryota; Viridiplantae; Streptophyta; Magnoliopsida; Magnoliales; Annonaceae.